RNAcentral lists this ribosomal RNA (269 nucleotides) under uncultured Planctomycetales bacterium. Its description in RNAcentral is "partial 16S ribosomal RNA". It matches the Rfam family "Bacterial small subunit ribosomal RNA", at positions 565 to 832 of the family's 1533-position model. Lineage: Bacteria; Pseudomonadati; Planctomycetota; Planctomycetia; Planctomycetales. The record is from RNAcentral.
GAGCACGUAGGUGGGUUUGUAAGUCAGAUGUGAAAGCCUUCUGUUCAACGGAAGAAUUGCAUCUGAAACUGCGAGUCUUGAGUGUAGGAGGGGAGAAUGGAACUUCUGGUGGAGCGGUGAAAUGCGUAGAUAUCAGAAGGAACGCCGGCGGCGAAAGCGAUUCUCUGGCCUAUUACUGACACUCAAUGUGCGAAAGCUAGGGGAGCAAACGGGAUUAGAUACCCCGGUAGUCCUAGCCGUAAACGAUGGGCACUAAGUAGAGGGGUUUU